RNAcentral lists this ribosomal RNA (478 nucleotides) under uncultured bacterium. RNAcentral's name for it is "partial 16S ribosomal RNA". It matches the Rfam family "Bacterial small subunit ribosomal RNA", at positions 28 to 507 of the family's 1533-position model. The record is from RNAcentral.
GACGAACGCUGGUGGCGUGCUUAACACAUGCAAGUCGAACGGGAUUUAGUAAACAGAAGCCUCGGUGGAAGAUUACUAAUGAGAGUGGCGAACAGGUGAGUAACGCGUGAGCAACCUGCCUAUGACAGUGGGAUAGCCUCGGGAAACCGGGAUUAAUACCGCAUAAAAUCGUAGAAACACAUGUUUUAACGGUCAAAGAUUUAUCGGUCAUAGAUGGGCUCGCGUCUGAUUAGCUAGUUGGUGAGAUAACAGCCCACCAAGGCGACGAUCAGUAGCCGGUCUGAGAGGAUGAACGGCCACAUUGGAACUGAGACACGGUCCAAACUCCUACGGGAGGCAGCAGUGGGGAAUAUUGCACAAUGGGGGAAACCCUGAUGCAGCGACGCCGCGUGAACGAAGAAGGUAUUCGUAUCGUAAAGUUCUGUCCUAUGGGAAGAUAAUGACAGUACCAUAGAAGAAAGCUCCGGCUAAAUACGUG